RNAcentral lists this ribosomal RNA (254 nucleotides) under uncultured Gardnerella sp. RNAcentral describes it as "partial 16S ribosomal RNA". It matches the Rfam family "Bacterial small subunit ribosomal RNA", at positions 101 to 354 of the family's 1533-position model. Lineage: Bacteria; Bacillati; Actinomycetota; Actinomycetes; Bifidobacteriales; Bifidobacteriaceae. The record is from RNAcentral.
AACGGGUGAGUAAUGCGUGACCAACCUGCCCCAUGCUCCAGAAUAGCUCUUGGAAACGGGUGGUAAUGCUGGAUGCUCCAACUUGACGCAUGUCUUGUUGGGAAAGUGUUUAGUGGUAUGGGAUGGGGUCGCGUCCUAUCAGCUUGUAGGCGGGGUAAUGGCCCACCUAGGCUUCGACGGGUAGCCGGCCUGAGAGGGCGGACGGCCACAUUGGGACUGAGAUACGGCCCAGACUCCUACGGGAGGCAGCAGAA